UUCUUACACGCCUGUUUCUCUCUUAUCUCACCUACCUAUCCUUCUUUAGUCGGUUACAAGUUGUUCAAGCAGCUGUUACAAGUCGCUGAUGAUGUUUAUGAUCCAAUGUGGAUCUUAUUUCAGUUGUUGAUCCUUCGUGUGGAUCUGUGGUUACUAUAGAUCCUGUGGAUCUCUGUUUUGGUUGUAUUGUCCUUGUUAAUCAACUGAUAAUCAUCAGUUGAUUAUUUAUUAUUUCUUGUACUGUUUGUAUUUUGGAUCUUACAGUUUGUAAGGUCUUGGGCGUUGGGUGUUUUUCGGUUUGGGUAACUAAUAAGAUUUUUACGUCACGUUUUGUCGCUUCUUUUGUGUUUCUUGUUGUUUCUGUGUUUGUAUUGUGAGUCUUUCAUACCAUUUUGACAUGGUAUCAGAGCCACAGGCUCUUGAUUCGUUGUUUUUUUUUUUUUCAAAGUUUUGUUAAUAAUAAAAACCCUUAUUUGUUCAUUUGAUUCAUGGAUCUGAAGUGUUGGGUUUAUUAUUGUUUGAGUAUUUCUGAUCUUGGGGUUCAACCGUGUUUUGAGUUUUUAAGUGCUCUUGUGACUUAGUGGUUGUUCGAUUCUAGUGUCUUCCGCUGCAAGAGUGAUUCGUCUUUUAGGGUUUCUUUCGUCUUGAACCCUAGAUUUUUUGUUUGUCUCGUUGUCGAUUGGUUUAGGGUUCAAUCACACAUUUUCAAUCCUAAGUCGAAGGUUCUCCUGAUAUUUGGUGUUCUAGCACUGUUCGUUGUACAAAACCCUAGCUCAAGCAGUCUCUGAAAAAACAGCACAUCUUGAUUCGCUGGUCUCUUUGGCAAGGUUAUUGUGGAAAAGGGACGUUAAUAUAUUGUUGUCAAUUUGGGCUUGUUCAAGUUGAAACUGCUGAUCCGUGUUUAGAGUGUUGUACCCAGGGUUUCUAGCGACCUGAAUAUGAUCUAUUGUUCUUUUCACAGUAAAUCCAAAAUUACCACUUAUUGGAAGAUUAGGGGGCAAAGUGAAACAUGGGCUGUUGCUGUUAUAAAAAAGGAAAAGUUAAGUGUAUCUGGAUGAUUCUUACACGCCUGUUUCUCUCUUAUCUCACCUACCUAUCCUUCUUUAGUCGGUUACAAGUUGUUCAAGCAGCUGUUACAAGUCGCUGAUGAUGUUUAUGAUCCAAUGUGGAUCUUAUUUCAGUUGUUGAUCCUUCGUGUGGAUCUGUGGUUACUAUAGAUCCUGUGGAUCUCUGUUUUGGUUGUAUUGUCCUUGUUAAUCAACUGAUAAUCAUCAGUUGAUUAUUUAUUAUUUCUUGUACUGUUUGUAUUUUGGAUCUUACAGUUUGUAAGGUCUUGGGCGUUGGGUGUUUUUCGGUUUGGGUAACUAAUAAGAUUUUUACGUCACGUUUUGUCGCUU
This 1397-nucleotide long non-coding RNA is filed under the name Helianthus annuus (common sunflower). RNAcentral describes it as "hypothetical non coding rna". The record is from RNAcentral. Lineage: Eukaryota; Viridiplantae; Streptophyta; Magnoliopsida; Asterales; Asteraceae.